This 385-nucleotide ribosomal RNA is filed under the name uncultured bacterium. Its description in RNAcentral is "bacterial SSU rRNA". It matches the Rfam family "Archaeal small subunit ribosomal RNA", at positions 339 to 727 of the family's 1478-position model. The record is from RNAcentral.
GCGCGAAACCUUCACAAUGCACGAGAGUGUGAUGAGGGGACUCAGAGUGCUUUACUUUGUAAAGCUUUUGCCAAGAGCAAAUAUCUUGGAGAAUAAGUGGUGGGCAAGACUGGUGCCAGCCGCCGCGGUAAUACCAGCUCCACGAGUGGGAACUACAAUUAUUGGGCCUAAAGCGUCCGUAGCCGGUUUAAUAAAUUUCUUGUGAAAUUGUUGCGCUUAACGUAACAACGUGCAGGAAAGACUGUUAAACUUGGGACUGGGAGGGGUUAGAAGUAUCUCUGGGGUAGCGGUAAAAUGUUAUAAUCCUAGAGAGACUACCUAUGGUGAAGGCAUCUAACUAGAACAGGUCCGACGGUGAGGGACGAAAGCUAGGGGAGCAAAACGG